Molecule: ribosomal RNA, 2907 nt
Filed under: Triticum aestivum (bread wheat)
Lineage: Eukaryota; Viridiplantae; Streptophyta; Magnoliopsida; Poales; Poaceae
Description: partial small subunit ribosomal RNA
Source: RNAcentral
AUGGAGGGCGCGGCGCAGUCCGUUGUGAGCAAUGUUGGGCAGCUGGUGGCCAAAGAGUUCUGGCUGCUCCGCGGCGUCGGCAGCGAGGUCGUUGAGCUGAGGGACGAGCUGGCAACCAUGAACGCCCUCCUCCUUAUGCAGUCUGAAGCCGGUGAGGGUGGAGUGGACCACGUCGUCAGGGAGUGGAUGAAGCAGGUGCGGGAGCUCGCAUGUGACGCCGACGACUGCGUCGAUCUCUACAUAUUCCGCAUCAAGCGCCGUCCCAGCGACGGCUUCCUCGUCAAGUCCAAGCGCCUGCUUGCGACCCUUUUUCCUCGCCGUCUGCUCGCCGGUGACAUCAGAGCCCUCCGCUCCCGAGCUAUAGCCAUUAGCGAGCGCCAUGCUCGUUACAGCUCUAGCCGAACGGUAUACCUCUCUCAGCUUGCCCCUGACCCGGCAGUGACGGACCUGUCCACACAAAGGCUUCGCCCUGGCCGUGCCGACGCCAACGACCCUGAUGAUUUCGUGGGCGUUGAAGAGCUCAACACAGUGAUCGACAUGGUGGAAGGCGAAAAGGAUGACGGCAAGCUUAAGGUUUUCUCCAUCGUUGGGCUCGGAGGGCUCGGCAAAACUACGCUCGCCUUUGAAGUUUGCCGGCAGGUGAAGACCAAGUUCCAGUGCCAAGCGCAGGUGUCCGUGUCUCGGGCGUUUGACAGCAGCAAGGACCUGCGGGGGUUGCUGAAACGCGUGCUUCAGCAGAUUUUGCAGGCUGAUGAAAGCCAUAGAACUAUACCUAAAGCAGUGAACCAGGUUCCUACUAUAGGCCAAGCAACUAAGAAGAAGUGUAAAGAACAAGAUAUGUUGAUACUAGCAUAUUGGAAGAAUUUCAAUGAUGAAACUAGGUACCUCAUUGUGCUUGAUGAUGUAUCGACAGUAGCUGUGUGGGCUGCAAUCCGGUCCAAAUUGCCAGAAAGCACAUGCGGCAGCAUAAUUAUUGUGACAACUCAGUUAGAUAGUGUGGCGCAAGCAUGCAGUGGAGCAAGUGUAUGUGAAGACCACAUAUACCAUAUGAAGCCGCUCAACCGUGAAGACUCGGAGAAGCUUUAUGUGAGGAGAGUACUUGGUAUCAUGGAAGGUGGGCCCAGGGGAGACUCUAUCCACAAUUAUCUCAACGAUGAAAUUAACCAAAUGUUGAGGAGAUGUGGGGGGCAUCCGUUAGCCAUUGUUUGCAUUGGAGGCCUUUGGGCAAGCCAUAGUUGGCGCGAUUCCACAGUUAUGUGGGGAGACAUUUGUAGAUCAAUCGGUUCAUCCAUGGAUACCUACCCAACCCCUGCUGUAACAAGGAAGAUCGCCGUGCUUAGCUUCAAUUACCUGUCUCGUGAGCUCAAGCGUUGCAUGAUGUAUCUUAGCAUUUUCCCGGAGGAUUAUCUAAUCAGCAAAAUCCGGCUCUUGAAAAGAUGGAUUGUAGAAGGACUGAUACCUGAGAAGCAGGGGCUUACUUUGAUGGAGACUGCUGAGGCCUACUACAAUGAGCUGGUGAAUAGGGGCAUGAUUGACCAAGCUGGCUGUAUAGUUACCUACUGUAAUAGGGUGGAUAUGUGUAGGGUGCAUGACAUUAUGCUUGAUGUUAUGGUGUCCAAAUCCCUAGAAGCUAACUUUGUUAGCUUGGUGGGCACUCAGUAUGACGGGAUGUCAUACGAUAUUGUUCGCCGUCUCUCCAUUCAUGGUGCAGAUGGGGGGAACCAAUACUAUCGAUCCAGGAAAAUGGUGAAUGGAAUUGAGGGGAUGAACGUGCAGCAUGUCCGAUCACUGAGCACAUUCCGGUCUGAAGGCCACAAGUUGCUGCUAGACCAGCUAGGGAUGUUCAAGCUGCUGAGGGUACUUGAUCUGGAAGACUGCAAGGACCUAAAAAACAAGCAUUUAAGGUACAUUUGCAAGAUGUACCUUCUUAAGUUCUUGAGCUUGAGGGGUACAGAUGUCAGUAUGAUGCCUCGCGAAGUCUGUGAUCUAGAGCAUUUGCAAAUACUUGAUGUCGGUGACACUCUCCUCGACACACUUCCCAAGACUAUGAUAAAGCUGAUCAAACUUGAGCGACUGAUGUUCUCCAACAGAGAAAGGCUGUUGACCCUAUGGAUACUGCCCAAAGGAAUCUCAAAGAUGAAGGCAUUGCGUGAAGUGAGUAGAGUAGCCAUAGAAAAUAUUGAGGUUGCCAUAGAGAUCGGUGAUCUACAACAACUGGAACAGAUAUUUGUUUAUGUCAACACAAGUUCCAAGCAGGGCAAGGAUAUUAGACGAGAGCUAAACCACUCCCUAAGCAAGACAGCAUACCUUCAGUGGCUCCACGUGGCAGAACUGCAAGAUGUCCACAACAAUGACAUGGACUAUCAUCCCCUGCUGGAUCUUGACAUGCCACCACAGCUUUUGCGGUACCUUAGCUUUGGUGGAUUUAUUCCUCGGAUUCCCGACUGGGUCGGUUCACUUGCAUUUCUUGCCGAGUUCACUAUUUCAGGCACAAAACUUGUUGGCAACCAACCAUUUGAGGUCCUUUGUAAAGCUCGAAACCUGAAUCACAUCACAUUUCAGAUGGAUUUUUACAUUGACAGAGAUCUGGUUGCAUGCAGUGCCCACAAGUUUUCUUCGCUCAAGAGCGUAAGAGUCAUCGCUGCUGCUGAAACUCCUGAAAUGUUCAGUUUUGAGGAAGACUCCAUGACACCUCUCGAGAUACUUGAGGUGGACUUCGGAGACUGGCAGAAGAGCAUUGCUGGGAUCGAGCACUUGAAGAACCUUAAACUGGUGCGACUCAGUGGUAGCAGCAAUAAUGCUUCACUGAUGGAAGUAGCGGAAAAGCUGAAAGAAGAGAGUGACAGACGAGGCAAGUCCGACGACAACAAUCAGCGCCCCUUCACGGUUGGAGUGAGAUACAACUGA